AUGGACAUGGAGCACACCGACCUGCUGGAGGACAUACUCCGCGGACUACCACAACGCGCCCUCGCCAUCUCCCGCAGCGUCUGCAAGGCAUGGCGCGCCACCGUCGACCACCGCCGUCUGCUGCGAGCCGACCUGCUCCCGCUCUCGGUCGACGCUGUCAUCUACAACAUAGACAAGAUCGAUGCCCCAAAGCUCUUCGCACGCCGAUCAACGACGCGCUACAUCACCAGCAGGGUCGACUACCUCGACAACCGUCCAGACUACGCGGAGGUCACCGGUGAGAUCGCGGACUACUACAACGGCCUCCUCUUGAUUGAAACCGACAAGGUGGCCAACCCCGCCACGCGGCAGUGGGCGUCCUUGCCCCCGCUGCCCUGUGCGUGCUUCCGGCGGGAGGCGACCUGCGGACGUUGCUACAGCAACCGCUACCUCAUCUAUGACCCUACGGUCUCGCCGCAUUACGAGGUGUUUUACGUCCCCCGUGUCCCCCGUGAUGUACCAGCCGACGUGGCGUGCAGCACGGAGUGGCCACCUUUGCUGUAUGUCAUGCAUGUUUUCUCCUCAGUGACAAAUUGUUGGCGGGAAAGGUCAUUUAGACGAGAAGGAGAUGCUGCAGGGACAAUGGCCGACAUGAACUCAGACUUUAAUUCUGAUGGGAAAUUGUACUACUCCGCUCACUGGCAGGGCUCACUCUAUGUCCCUUUAAGGCAUGAUAAAGGUGAUUUUGUUAUGAGAAUAAAAUUAUGGAAUGACAAUUACCAAGUAAUCGAGCUGCCAAAAGGAGGCAGAGGAUCACUAUUUCGUUUGGGAAAAUCAAAGAAAGGGGUCUAUUGUGUACAGGAUAUCGAUGGCCGAUGCACAUUUAAGAUUUGGCUUCUUUCUGAAUCGCAUGCUGGCGCGAUACACUGGGUUUUAAAUAAUGAAAUCUGCUUUGAGACAGCCUGGAGAACAUAUCCUUGUAAACAUGACAGUGGACCAUGGAUCUCACAGUCGCUUCGACAAAAGGAAUCGUUGUUGGAAGAAGACGUCAACCUUGAAGUUGCAAAUAAAUACAACGACGCAAUAUCCAAAGAUGAUUUUGAAUGGGAUUCUGAUGAUGAAAAUCUUGUUACCACUGUGGACUGGCCGAAAAAGGGCAGCCCUGGUGCUCCAGCUCACCUUUUUUGGUGUCUGGGAUUCCAUCCUUACAAAGAAAUUGCCCUUUUCCAUGAUGAUUAUAGAAGCGCAACAUUUGCUUAUUAUUUAAAUAGCUCAAAGGUUCGAUACUUGGGAAUAAUGGAGCAUGAUUAUUCUGAUGUGGCUAUUUCCUUUGCUUACACACCGUGUUGGACGAUGGACUUGCCAGGAAGAAAAUGA
This 1356-nucleotide ribosomal RNA is filed under the name Triticum aestivum (bread wheat). RNAcentral describes it as "partial small subunit ribosomal RNA". The record is from RNAcentral. Lineage: Eukaryota; Viridiplantae; Streptophyta; Magnoliopsida; Poales; Poaceae.